Molecule: ribosomal RNA, 468 nt
Filed under: uncultured bacterium
Lineage: Bacteria
Description: partial 16S ribosomal RNA
Rfam family: Bacterial small subunit ribosomal RNA
Source: RNAcentral
GACGAACGCUGGCGGCGUGCUUAACACAUGCAAGUCGAACGGAAAGGCCCUACUUUUGUGGGGUGCUCGUGUGGCGAACGGGUGAGUAACACGUGAGUAACCUGCCCUUGACUUUGGGAUAACUUCAGGAAACUGGGGCUAAUACCGGAUAGGAGCUCCUGCUGCACGGGGGGGGUUGGAAAGUUUCGGCGGUUGGGGAUGGACUCGCGGCUUAUCAGCUUGUUGGUGGGGUAGUGGCUUACGAAGGGUUUGACGGGUAGCCGGCCUGAGAGGGUGACCGGCCACAUUGGGACUGAGGUACGGCCCAGACGCCUACGUGAGGCAGCAGUGGGAAAUAUUGCAGAGUGGGCGGAAGCCUGAGGCAGCAACGCCGCGUGCGGGAUGACGGCCUUCGGGUUGUAAACCGCUUUCGCCUGUGACGAAGCGUGAGUGACGGUAAUGGGUAAGGAAGCACCGGCUAACUACGUG